Molecule: ribosomal RNA, 465 nt
Filed under: uncultured bacterium
Lineage: Bacteria
Description: bacterial SSU rRNA
Rfam family: Bacterial small subunit ribosomal RNA
Source: RNAcentral
CCCAGACUCCUACGGGAGGCAGCAGUGAGGAAUAUUGGUCAAUGGGCUUACGCCUGAACCAGCCAAGUCGCGUGAGGGAAGACGGCCCUACGGGUUGUAAACCUCUUUUGUCGGGGAGCAAAGCGAACCACGUGUGGCUCAUUGAGAGUACCCGAAGAAAAAGCAUCGGCUAACUCCGUGCCAGCAGCCGCGGUAAUACGGAGGAUGCGAGCGUUAUCCGGAUUUAUUGGGUUUAAAGGGUGCGUAGGCGGAAUGCCAAGUCAGCGGUAAAAGCGCGGGGCUCAACCUCGCUCCGCCGUUGAAACUGGCGUUCUUGAGUGAGCGAGAAGUAUGCGGAAUGCGCGGUGUAGCGGUGAAAUGCAUAGAUAUCGCGCAGAACUCCGAUUGCGAAGGCAGCAUGCCGGCUCCACACUGACGCUGAGGCACGAAAGCGUGGGUAUCGAACAGGAUUAGAUACCCUUGUAA